RNAcentral lists this ribosomal RNA (807 nucleotides) under Pseudopestalotiopsis ampullacea. RNAcentral describes it as "eukaryotic LSU rRNA". It matches the Rfam family "Eukaryotic large subunit ribosomal RNA", at positions 86 to 918 of the family's 3401-position model. The record is from RNAcentral. Lineage: Eukaryota; Fungi; Ascomycota; Sordariomycetes; Amphisphaeriales; Sporocadaceae.
ACGGCGAGUGAAGCGGCAACAGCUCAAAUUUGAAAUCUGGCCUUUGGGUCCGAAUUGUAAUUUGUAGAGGAUGAUUUUGGUGCGGUAUCUUCCGAGUUCCUUGGAACAGGACGCCUUAGAGGGUGAGAGCCCCGUACGGUUGAAUGCCUAGCCUCUGUAAAUCUCCUUCGACGAGUCGAGUAGUUUGGGAAUGCUGCUCUAAAUGGGAGGUAAAUUUCUUCUAAAGCUAAAUAUUGGCCAGAGACCGAUAGCGCACAAGUAGAGUGAUCGAAAGAUGAAAAGCACUUUGAAAAGAGGGUUAAAUAGCACGUGAAAUUGUUGAAAGGGAAGGAUUUGUGACCAGACUUUUUCUGGGCGGAUCAUCCGGGGUUCUCUCCGGUGCACUUUGCCCAGUAAAGGCCAGCAUCGGUUUUCGGCGGGGGAUAAAAGCAGUAGGAAUGUGGCUCUCUACGGGGAGUGUUAUAGCCUAUUGUAUAAUACCCUGCUGGGGACCGAGGUACGCGCUUCUGCAAGGAUGCUGGCGUAAUGGUUAUCAAUCACCCGUCUUGAAACACGGACCAAGGAGUCGAACAUUUGUGCGAGUGUUUGGGUGAUAAACCCUCACGCGUAAUGAAAGUGAACGGAGGUGAGAGCCCUUACGGGUGCAUCAUCGACCGAUCCUGAAGUUUUCGGAUGGAUUUGAGUAAGAGCAUAACUGUUCGGACCCGAAAGAUGGUGAACUAUGCGUGGAUAGGGUGAAGCCAGAGGAAACUCUGGUGGAGGCUCGCAGCGGUUCUGACGUGCAAAUCGAUCGUCAAAUCUGCGCAU